Molecule: non-coding RNA, 131 nt
Filed under: Streptococcus sp.
Lineage: Bacteria; Bacillati; Bacillota; Bacilli; Lactobacillales; Streptococcaceae
Description: PreQ1-II sequence
Rfam family: PreQ1-II (pre queuosine) riboswitch aptamer
About the family: Q is a hyper modified nucleoside present in some anticodons in tRNAs (Try, Asn, Asp and His).
Source: RNAcentral
UGUGCUAUACUAGAUGAGUUGUCAAACGAGCAGGCUAGAUCAUCUUUGCCUCAUGUUGCGCAACCCUUGGUGCUUAGCUUCUUUCGCCAAGCAUAUUACACGCGGUAAAACCGCCAAAGGAGAAUUUUAUG